RNAcentral lists this ribosomal RNA (479 nucleotides) under uncultured bacterium. RNAcentral describes it as "partial 16S ribosomal RNA". It matches the Rfam family "Bacterial small subunit ribosomal RNA", at positions 28 to 507 of the family's 1533-position model. The record is from RNAcentral.
GAUGAACGCUGGCGGCGUGCUUAACACAUGCAAGUCGAGCGAGAAGUUUUGACUAUAUUCUUCGGAUGAAAUUUAAAAUGGAAAGCUGCGGACGGGUUAAUAACGCGUAGGCAACCUGCCCCAUACAAAGGAAUAGCAUUUGUAAACGAAUAUUACUACCUUAUCAUACUUAACUAGUGCAUGCUAGGUAGGUCAAAGAUUUAUCGGUGUGGGAUGGGCCUGCGUCUGAUUAGCUAGUUGGUGAGGUAACGGCUAACCAAGGCGACGAUCAGUAGCCGACGUGAGAGGCUGAACGGCCAGGUUGGAACUGAGACACGGGCCACACUCCGACGGGAGGAAGGAGUGAGGAAGAAUGCACAAUGGGGGAAAGACUGAUGCAGCCACGCUGCGGGAACGAUGCAGGCCGUUGGGUAGCCAAGUUCUGUUGUAGGUGAUGAAAACUGACAGUAACCUAGGAGAAAGCACCGGCUAACUACGUG